AUGUUAGUAAGAACUGCUUAUUCCAGGGAUAGGUACAAGUUCAUGUAUAAGUAAGAACUAGACAAAUUUUAUGUUUGCAUGAAAAUUGGGUUGUUUUCGAGAAUAAAAAAGUAACGUUUAGAUAGAUAAAAUGAAAUAAGAACAGUGGAUAGUUAUAAAUAAAAAUAAUGAUAUUACCCCCUCUCAUUAUAUUUGAAUUUGAAUUUUUAAAUUUCAUAUUUAUAUUUUUAAAUUUGAAAUUUUAACUUUUAAAUUUCAAAUUUCAAAAUUAAAUGCGAACAUUCCAAUAAGCAUAAUUU
RNAcentral lists this long non-coding RNA (299 nucleotides) under Ananas comosus (pineapple). RNAcentral describes it as "long non-coding RNA (ACOM_LNC034551)". Lineage: Eukaryota; Viridiplantae; Streptophyta; Magnoliopsida; Poales; Bromeliaceae. The record is from RNAcentral.